CCUACGGGAGGCAGCAGUGAGGAAUAUUGGUCAAUGGACGAGAGUCUGAACCAGCCAAGCCGCGUGAAGGAUGACUGCUCUAUGGGUUGUAAACUUCUUUUAUAUGGGAAUAAAAUGUUCCACGUGUGGGAUUUUGUAUGUACCAUAUGAAUAAGGAUCGGCUAACUCCGUGCCAGCAGCCGCGGUAAUACGGAGGAUCCGAGCGUUAUCCGGAUUUAUUGGGGUUAAAGAGAGCGUAGGUGGUUUGUUAAGUCAGUUGUGAAAGUUUGCGGCUCAACCGUAAAAUUGCAGUUGAAACUGGCAGUCUUGAGUACAGGAGAGGUAGGCGGAAUUCGUGGUGUAGCGGUGAAAUGCUUAGAUAUCACGAAGAACACCGAUUGCGAAGGCAGUUCACUGGACUGCAACUGACACUGAGGCUCGAAAGUAUGGGUAGCAAACAGGAUUAGAUACCCGGGUAGUC
This 460-nucleotide ribosomal RNA is filed under the name uncultured bacterium. Its description in RNAcentral is "partial 16S ribosomal RNA". It matches the Rfam family "Bacterial small subunit ribosomal RNA", at positions 338 to 795 of the family's 1533-position model. The record is from RNAcentral.